CUCAGACUGAGUCAAAACUGUACAGAGGAGGGUAUAUUUCAAAAACAGGCACAGGAGAGAAACAAUAUCCAGAGAUUAUUUUGGAGGAAGCCCUUAGAAUAGUGAAGGAUAUCUUAAGGAUGGGAACUAAUUCAAAAGGAUAGAAAAAAGAAGAAUGACCAAGAUAAUUUUAAGAAUGCUUUCGAUUUUAAUAAUCAGUAUAGGUCUAUUAAGAAAACAAUCA
Pelobates cultripes (western spadefoot toad) is the source of this 223-nucleotide non-coding RNA. The record is from the annotation of a GenBank genome assembly. NCBI's taxonomy places the organism in Eukaryota, Metazoa, Chordata, Amphibia, Anura, Pelobatidae.